UGGUUCUGGCAUCGAUGAAGAACGCAGCGAAAUGCGAUAAGUAAUGCGAAUUGCAGAGCAGUGAGUCAUCGAAUCUUUGAACGCACAUUGCGCCCUUUGGCAUUCCGAAGGGCAUGCCUGUUCGAGCGUCAUUAACAACCCUCAAGCCUGGGCUUGAUGUUGGACCUCUAUUAGGUCCGCCUAACAGUGUCCCAAAGACAAUGACGGAGUCUAUGUCGGACCCUAGACGCAACGAGCUUUUUAAGCACGCGUCCCAAGGGGCAGACCAGGCUGGUCUUCAACUCUUAUUUUCUAAGGUUGACCUCGGAUCAGGUAGGAAUACCCGCUGA
RNAcentral lists this unclassified non-coding RNA (329 nucleotides) under uncultured fungus. RNAcentral describes it as "partial contains 5.8S ribosomal RNA and internal transcribed spacer 2". The stretch from base 1 to 131 matches the Rfam family "5.8S ribosomal RNA", at positions 22 to 154 of the family's 154-position model. The record is from RNAcentral. Lineage: Eukaryota; Fungi.